GACGAACGCUGGCGGCGUGCUUAACACAUGCAAGUCGAACGGAAAGGCCCUGCUUGCAGGGUGCUCGAGUGGCGAACGGGUGAGUAACACGUGGGUGAUCUGCCCCUUACUUUGGGAUAAGCCUGGGAAACUGGGUCUAAUACUGGAUAGGACCAUGCUGGAGGUGGUGUGGUGGAAAGAUUAUUUUCGGUAAGGGAUGAGCUCGCGGCCUAUCAGCUUGUUGGUGGGGUAGUGGCCUACCAAGGCGUCUACGGGUAGCCGGCCUGAGAGGGUGGACGGCCACAUUGGGACUGAGAGACGGCCCAGACUCCUACGGGAGGCAGCAGUGGGGAAUAUUGCAAAAUGGGCGCAAGCCUGAUGCAGCGACGCCGCGUGGGGGAUGACGGUCUUCGGGUUGUAAACUCCUUUCAGCCAUGACGAAGCCCUUGUGGUGACGGUAGUGGUAGAAGAAGCACCGGCUAACUACGUG
This 469-nucleotide ribosomal RNA is filed under the name uncultured bacterium. RNAcentral's name for it is "partial 16S ribosomal RNA". It matches the Rfam family "Bacterial small subunit ribosomal RNA", at positions 28 to 507 of the family's 1533-position model. The record is from RNAcentral.